RNAcentral lists this ribosomal RNA (837 nucleotides) under Haptophyta environmental samples. Its description in RNAcentral is "bacterial SSU rRNA". It matches the Rfam family "Bacterial small subunit ribosomal RNA", at positions 481 to 1325 of the family's 1533-position model. Lineage: Eukaryota; Haptophyta. The record is from RNAcentral.
GAGGAAUAAGCAUCGGCUAACUCCGUGCCAGCAGCCGCGGUAAUACGGGGGAUGCAAGCGUUAUCCGAAAUCAUUGGGCGUAAAGCGCCUGUAGGUUGUUUAUUAAGUCUGUUGUUAAAGCCUAGGGCUUAACCCUAGAACAGCAAUGGAAACUGGUAAACUUGAGUAUGGUAGGGGUAGAGGGAAUUUCUAGUGUAGCGGUGAAAUGCGUAGAUAUUAGAAAGAACACCAGUGGCGAAAGCGCUCUACUGGACCAUUACUGACACUCAGAGGCGAAAGCUAGGGUAGCAAAAGGGAUUAGAUACCCCUGUAGUCCUAGCCGUAAACGAUGGAUACUAGAUGUUGCGCUUAUAGUGCAGUAUCGUAGCUAACGCGUUAAGUAUCCCGCCUGGGGAGUACGCUCGCAAGGGUGAAACUCAAAGGAAUUGACGGGGGCCCGCACAAGCGGUGGAGCAUGUGGUUUAAUUCGAUGCAACGCGAAGAACCUUACCAGGGCUUGACAUACUGCGAAUCUCUUUGAAAGAAGAGAGUGCCUUCGGGAAUGCAGAUACAGGUGGUGCAUGGCUGUCGUCAGCUCGUGUCGUGAGAUGUUGGGUUAAGUCCCGCAACGAGCGCAACCCUUGUUUUUAGUUACUAAUUUAUUUAGGUUUUCUAGAAAGACUGCCGGUGACAAACCGGAGGAAGGUGAGGAUGACGUCAAGUCAGCAUGCCCCUUAUGUCCUGGGCCACACACGUGCUACAAUGGUUAAGACAAAGAGUCGCAAAUUCGCAAGGAUAAGCUAAUCUCAUAAACUUAGCCUAAGUUCAGAUUGUAGGCUGCAACUCGCCUGCAUGAAG